RNAcentral lists this ribosomal RNA (496 nucleotides) under uncultured bacterium. RNAcentral's name for it is "partial 16S ribosomal RNA". It matches the Rfam family "Bacterial small subunit ribosomal RNA", at positions 28 to 506 of the family's 1533-position model. The record is from RNAcentral.
GACGAACGCUGGCGGCGUGCCUAAUACAUGCAAGUAGAACGCUGAAGAGAGGAGCUUACUCUUCUUGGAUGAGUUGCGAACGGGUGAGUAACGCGUAGGUAACCUGCCUUGUAGCGGGGGAUAACUAUCGGAAACGAUAGCUAAUACCGCAUAACAAUGGAUGACACAUGCCAUCUAUUUGAAAGGGGCAAUUUCUCCACUACCACAUGGACCUGCGUUGUAUUAGUUAGUAGGUGAGGUAACGGCUCCGUUAGGCGACGAUACCUAGCCGACCUGAGAGGCUGGUCGGUCACACUGGGAGUGAGACGCCGCCGAGAGGACGACGGGAGGCACCAGUAGGGAAUCGUCGGGAAUGGGGGCAAGCCUGGCCGAGCAGUGCCGCGGGAGUGAAGAAGGCUCUCGGAGCGUAAAGCUCUGUUGUACGUCAAGAACGGGUGUGGGAGUGGAAGGAGCAGGAUGUACGGGAAGGUUACGAGAAGGAGAGGCCAAAGUACGU